Molecule: ribosomal RNA, 2902 nt
Filed under: Klebsiella pneumoniae
Lineage: Bacteria; Pseudomonadati; Pseudomonadota; Gammaproteobacteria; Enterobacterales; Enterobacteriaceae
Also listed under: 1 other name
Description: 23S ribosomal RNA
Rfam family: Bacterial large subunit ribosomal RNA
Source: RNAcentral
GGUUAAGCGACUAAGCGUACACGGUGGAUGCCCUGGCAGUCAGAGGCGAUGAAGGACGUGCUAAUCUGCGAAAAGCGUCGGUAAGGUGAUAUGAACCGUUACAGCCGGCGAUGUCCGAAUGGGGAAACCCAGUGCAAUUCGUUGCACUAUCGUUAACUGAAUACAUAGGUUAACGAGGCGAACCGGGGGAACUGAAACAUCUAAGUACCCCGAGGAAAAGAAAUCAACCGAGAUUCCCCCAGUAGCGGCGAGCGAACGGGGAGCAGCCCAGAGUCUGAAUCAGCUUGUGUGUUAGUGGAACGGUCUGGAAAGUCCGACGGUACAGGGUGAUAGUCCCGUACACCAAAAUGCACAGGCUGUGAACUCGAAGAGUAGGGCGGGACACGUGGUAUCCUGUCUGAAUAUGGGGGGACCAUCCUCCAAGGCUAAAUACUCCUGACUGACCGAUAGUGAACCAGUACCGUGAGGGAAAGGCGAAAAGAACCCCGGCGAGGGGAGUGAAAAAGAACCUGAAACCGUGUACGUACAAGCAGUGGGAGCACCUUCGGGUGUGACUGCGUACCUUUUGUAUAAUGGGUCAGCGACUUAUAUUCUGUAGCAAGGUUAACCGUAUAGGGGAGCCGCAGGGAAACCGAGUCUUAACUGGGCGUUAAGUUGCAGGGUAUAGACCCGAAACCCGGUGAUCUAGCCAUGGGCAGGUUGAAGGUUGGGUAACACUAACUGGAGGACCGAACCGACUAAUGUUGAAAAAUUAGCGGAUGACUUGUGGCUGGGGGUGAAAGGCCAAUCAAACCGGGAGAUAGCUGGUUCUCCCCGAAAGCUAUUUAGGUAGCGCCUCGUGAACUCAUCUUCGGGGGUAGAGCACUGUUUCGGCUAGGGGGUCAUCCCGACUUACCAACCCGAUGCAAACUACGAAUACCGAAGAAUGUUAUCACGGGAGACACACGGCGGGUGCUAACGUCCGUCGUGAAGAGGGAAACAACCCAGACCGCCAGCUAAGGUCCCAAAGUCAUGGUUAAGUGGGAAACGAUGUGGGAAGGCACAGACAGCCAGGAUGUUGGCUUAGAAGCAGCCAUCAUUUAAAGAAAGCGUAAUAGCUCACUGGUCGAGUCGGCCUGCGCGGAAGAUGUAACGGGGCUAAACCAUGCACCGAAGCUGCGGCAGCGACACUAUGUGUUGUUGGGUAGGGGAGCGUUCUGUAAGCCUGCGAAGGUGUGCUGUGAGGCAUGCUGGAGGUAUCAGAAGUGCGAAUGCUGACAUAAGUAACGAUAAAGCGGGUGAAAAGCCCGCUCGCCGGAAGACCAAGGGUUCCUGUCCAACGUUAAUCGGGGCAGGGUGAGUCGACCCCUAAGGCGAGGCCGAAAGGCGUAGUCGAUGGGAAACAGGUUAAUAUUCCUGUACUUGGUGUUACUGCGAAGGGGGGACGGAGAAGGCUAUGUUAGCCGGGCGACGGUUGUCCCGGUUUAAGCAUGUAGGCUGGUUAUCCAGGCAAAUCCGGAUAAUCAAGGCUGAGGUGUGAUGACGAGGCACUACGGUGCUGAAGUAACAAAUGCCCUGCUUCCAGGAAAAGCCUCUAAGCAUCAGGUAACAUCAAAUCGUACCCCAAACCGACACAGGUGGUCAGGUAGAGAAUACCAAGGCGCUUGAGAGAACUCGGGUGAAGGAACUAGGCAAAAUGGUGCCGUAACUUCGGGAGAAGGCACGCUGGUGUGUAGGUGAAGUCCCUGCGGAUGGAGCUGAGACCAGUCGAAGAUACCAGCUGGCUGCAACUGUUUAUUAAAAACACAGCACUGUGCAAACACGAAAGUGGACGUAUACGGUGUGACGCCUGCCCGGUGCCGGAAGGUUAAUUGAUGGGGUUAUCCGUAAGGAGAAGCUCUUGAUCGAAGCCCCGGUAAACGGCGGCCGUAACUAUAACGGUCCUAAGGUAGCGAAAUUCCUUGUCGGGUAAGUUCCGACCUGCACGAAUGGCGUAAUGAUGGCCAGGCUGUCUCCACCCGAGACUCAGUGAAAUUGAACUCGCUGUGAAGAUGCAGUGUACCCGCGGCAAGACGGAAAGACCCCGUGAACCUUUACUAUAGCUUGACACUGAACAUUGAGCCUUGAUGUGUAGGAUAGGUGGGAGGCUUUGAAGCGUGGACGCCAGUCUGCGUGGAGCCAACCUUGAAAUACCACCCUUUAAUGUUUGAUGUUCUAACGUUGGCCCCUGACCGGGGUUGCGGACAGUGUCUGGUGGGUAGUUUGACUGGGGCGGUCUCCUCCCAAAGCGUAACGGAGGAGCACGAAGGUUAGCUAAUCCUGGUCGGACAUCAGGAGGUUAGUGCAAUGGCAUAAGCUAGCUUGACUGCGAGCGUGACGGCGCGAGCAGGUGCGAAAGCAGGUCAUAGUGAUCCGGUGGUUCUGAAUGGAAGGGCCAUCGCUCAACGGAUAAAAGGUACUCCGGGGAUAACAGGCUGAUACCGCCCAAGAGUUCAUAUCGACGGCGGUGUUUGGCACCUCGAUGUCGGCUCAUCACAUCCUGGGGCUGAAGUAGGUCCCAAGGGUAUGGCUGUUCGCCAUUUAAAGUGGUACGCGAGCUGGGUUUAGAACGUCGUGAGACAGUUCGGUCCCUAUCUGCCGUGGGCGCUGGAGAAUUGAGGGGGGCUGCUCCUAGUACGAGAGGACCGGAGUGGACGCAUCACUGGUGUUCGGGUUGUCAUGCCAAUGGCACUGCCCGGUAGCUAAAUGCGGAAGAGAUAAGUGCUGAAAGCAUCUAAGCACGAAACUUGCCCCGAGAUGAGUUCUCCCUGAGACUAUAAGUCUCCUGAAGGAACGUUAAAGACGAUGACGUUGAUAGGCCGGGUGUGUAAGCGCAGCGAUGCGUUGAGCUAACCGGUACUAAUGAACCGUGAGGCUUAACCUU